Molecule: ribosomal RNA, 66 nt
Filed under: Escherichia coli
Lineage: Bacteria; Pseudomonadati; Pseudomonadota; Gammaproteobacteria; Enterobacterales; Enterobacteriaceae
Also listed under: 3 other names
Description: partial 16S ribosomal RNA
Rfam family: Bacterial small subunit ribosomal RNA (bases 1-54)
Source: RNAcentral
GUGAAGUCGUAACAAGGUAACCGUAGGGGAACCUGCGGUUGGAUCACCUCCUUACCUUAAAGAAGC